ACAGAGAUGUUGCUCAUUCCCGGAGAUCAGUCUCCAACCCAGGACCUAGUCAUUUCUCUUGAUGACUCCCAGAUCAGACCAUCUGAUAAGGACUUUACCCUUCUGGCAGACCCGUAACCUGUGAAACUGUCUGUUGAAACUACGGCCGAUUUUUCUUUUGCAGCUACAUCUAAACACGUCCAAUCCUUGCCCAAUUGCAUCAUGCUUCUUCUCCACCAAUGCCGAUCCCUGCUCUGAUUGAGGAAAACGAAGCAAACCCACACCCCCUCCAGCACGUGGGCAGCAAGCCGCAUGCACCUUAUCACCCACACAUUGAUGAGUGUUGUGCCACCUAGCGUUGUGUGCGGAGAGACACACCCUAAGAGCACUCUUCCCUCAUCUCUGUGUAGGCGCCUCUAAUCAGCCAACAGAGGUCAAAAUUGCACCAUUCUGACAGAGAGAGACUCAUAUCCGGCUUAGUCCCACCCAUCUGAACAACAGGCCAAUCGUUGUUCAUGUGGCCGCUCAGUCUCAGCCGGAAAGACAGAGCUGAGACUCGAUACGAUGUAUACAAGAUCCCAGCUCUGGUUGCAGCCUGUGAUUUUACCACUGCGCCACCUGAGA
Trichomycterus rosablanca is the source of this 603-nucleotide long non-coding RNA. RefSeq lists it as uncharacterized. The record is from RefSeq and is a predicted model, not a curated record. The transcript has 3 exons. NCBI's taxonomy places the organism in Eukaryota, Metazoa, Chordata, Actinopteri, Siluriformes, Trichomycteridae.